RNAcentral lists this ribosomal RNA (433 nucleotides) under Lensia cordata. RNAcentral describes it as "partial 16S ribosomal RNA". It matches the Rfam family "Bacterial large subunit ribosomal RNA", at positions 1935 to 2481 of the family's 2925-position model. Lineage: Eukaryota; Metazoa; Cnidaria; Hydrozoa; Siphonophorae; Diphyidae. The record is from RNAcentral.
CUUAAUCCUAAAGGGUGUGAAAUAAGCAUAAUCGGAUACCGUUUAAUUGGCGGAGUGUUGAAUGGACUCACGAGUGCAAAGCUGUCUUGGGCCAAGCCUAAAUGAAAUAGAUGUAGAAGUGAAGACGCUUCUUUAGCUAAUUAGACGAAAAGACCCCGUGAAGCUUAACUAUAAGCUAGUUAAUUGGAAGGUUAGGCUUAUCUAGAGGCUGUAUGUGCCGUAUAAUAAGCCACUUAGCCUAUCUCCCUAGCUAGCUUGGUAGUUUUGGUGGGGUGCCAGCGCGUUAAAUAGAACAUGGAGUUGAUUAGGCUAAAGCUUAAUAGCCUAGUGGAAGUGACAUCUUUACACAGGGUAAAAUUACGGUAAAAUGACCCGCCUAAGAUCAUGAUUUCUAUAGACGACAAAGGAUAAUAGCUACUCCGGGGAUAACAGG